This 466-nucleotide ribosomal RNA is filed under the name uncultured bacterium. Its description in RNAcentral is "partial 16S ribosomal RNA". It matches the Rfam family "Bacterial small subunit ribosomal RNA", at positions 28 to 507 of the family's 1533-position model. The record is from RNAcentral.
GAUGAACGCUGGCGGCGUGCUUAACACAUGCAAGUCGAACGAUGAAGCCCUGCUUGUUUGGUGUGUUCGUGUCGCGCGCGUGAGUGUCACGCGAGUGUCCUCCGCUUUUCACUGUGAUAUGCCUGGGAGACUCUGUCUAAUACAGCAUAGGAGCGCCUCCCGCAUGUUGGGUGUUGUGGAGAUUUGGCGGUUUUGGAUGGACUCGCGGCGUAUCAGCUUGUUGGUGGGGUAGUGGCUCACCAAGGCGCCGACGGGUAGCCGGCCUGAGAGGGUGACCGGCCACACUGGGACUGAGACACGGCCCAGACUCCUACGGGAGGCAGCAGUGGGGAAUAUUGCACAAUGGGCGGAAGCCUGAUGCAGCAACGCCGCGUGCGGGAUGACGGCCUUCGGGUUGUAAACCGCUUUCAGUAGGGAAGAAGCGAAAGUGACGGUACCGGCAGAAGAAGCACCGGCUAACUACGUG